This 451-nucleotide ribosomal RNA is filed under the name Salmonella enterica. RNAcentral's name for it is "partial 23S ribosomal RNA". It matches the Rfam family "Bacterial large subunit ribosomal RNA", at positions 131 to 623 of the family's 2925-position model. The record is from RNAcentral. Lineage: Bacteria; Pseudomonadati; Pseudomonadota; Gammaproteobacteria; Enterobacterales; Enterobacteriaceae.
GUGUGACUCGUCACACUAUCAUUAACUGAAUCCAUAGGUUAAUGAGGCGAACCGGGGGAACUGAAACAUCUAAGUACCCCGAGGAAAAGAAAUCAACCGAGAUUCCCCCAGUAGCGGCGAGCGAACGGGGAGGAGCCCAGAGCCUGAAUCAGCAUGUGUGUUAGUGGAAGCGUCUGGAAAGGCGCGCGAUACAGGGUGACAGCCCCGUACACAAAAGCGCAUGUGCUGUGAGCUCGAUGAGUAGGGCGGGACACGUGGUAUCCUGUCUGAAUAUGGGGGGACCAUCCUCCAAGGCUAAAUACUCCUGACUGACCGAUAGUGAACCAGUACCGUGAGGGAAAGGCGAAAAGAACCCCGGCGAGGGGAGUGAAAAAGAACCUGAAACCGUGUACGUACAAGCAGUGGGAGCACCCUUUGGGUGUGACUGCGUACCUUUUGUAUAAUGGGUCAG